RNAcentral lists this ribosomal RNA (466 nucleotides) under uncultured bacterium. Its description in RNAcentral is "partial 16S ribosomal RNA". It matches the Rfam family "Bacterial small subunit ribosomal RNA", at positions 28 to 507 of the family's 1533-position model. The record is from RNAcentral.
GAUGAACGCUGGCGGCGUGCUUAACACAUGCAAGUCGAACGAUGAAGCCCAGCUUGCUGGGUGGAUUAGUGGCGAACGGGUGAGUAACACGUGAGUAACCUGCCCUUGACUCUGGGAUAAGCCUGGGAAACUGGGUCUAAUACUGGAUAUGACUUCUCAUCGCAUGGUGGGGGGUGGAAAGAUUUAUUGGUCUUGGAUGGACUCGCGGCCUAUCAGCUUGUUGGUGAGGUAAUGGCUCACCAAGGCGACGACGGGUAGCCGGCCUGAGAGGGUGACCGGCCACACUGGGACUGAGACACGGCCCAGACUCCUACGGGCGGCAGCAGUCGGGAAUUUUGCACAAUGGGCGCAAGCCUGAUGAAGCGACGCCGCGUGAGGGAUGACGGCCUUCGGGUUGUAAACCUCUUUCAGUAGGGAAGAAGCGAGAGUGACGUUACCUGCAGAAGAAGCGCCGGCUAACUACGUG